This 414-nucleotide ribosomal RNA is filed under the name Klebsiella pneumoniae. RNAcentral's name for it is "bacterial SSU rRNA". It matches the Rfam family "Bacterial small subunit ribosomal RNA", at positions 1118 to 1532 of the family's 1533-position model. The record is from RNAcentral. Lineage: Bacteria; Pseudomonadati; Pseudomonadota; Gammaproteobacteria; Enterobacterales; Enterobacteriaceae.
CCAGCGGUCCGGCCGGGAACUCAAAGGAGACUGCCAGUGAUAAACUGGAGGAAGGUGGGGAUGACGUCAAGUCAUCAUGGCCCUUACGACCAGGGCUACACACGUGCUACAAUGGCAUAUACAAAGAGAAGCGACCUCGCGAGAGCAAGCGGACCUCAUAAAGUAUGUCGUAGUCCGGAUUGGAGUCUGCAACUCGACUCCAUGAAGUCGGAAUCGCUAGUAAUCGUAGAUCAGAAUGCUACGGUGAAUACGUUCCCGGGCCUUGUACACACCGCCCGUCACACCAUGGGAGUGGGUUGCAAAAGAAGUAGGUAGCUUAACCUUCGGGAGGGCGCUUACCACUUUGUGAUUCAUGACUGGGGUGAAGUCGUAACAAGGUAACCGUAGGGGAACCUGCGGUUGGAUCACCUCCUU